Molecule: long non-coding RNA, 1027 nt
Filed under: Mytilus galloprovincialis (Mediterranean mussel)
Lineage: Eukaryota; Metazoa; Mollusca; Bivalvia; Mytilida; Mytilidae
Source: RNAcentral
GAGAAAUCAAAAGUAAUGGUUUUUAAUUCAAACGGAAAGUCUUUUCUAAACGAAUUUUAUUAUAAUGGCAAAUCCUUAGAGACAGUUAAUACUUAUUGUUACUUGGGUAUUAAUAUUAGAUAUAAUGGCAGUUUUAAUGUCGCCAUCACUUCGCUUAUGGAAAAAGCUAGGAAAGCAUAUUUUAAAAUAAAGAAAACAAUAGGAUUAGAUAACCCUUGUAAACUUCUGGAAAAACUUUUUGAUUCCUUAGUAGCCCCUAUUCUCCUUUAUUGUAGCGAAAUCUGGGGGAUUAUUUCGACAUUUAAAGACAGUGAUGCCUAUGAAAAGUUGCAUAUAAAAUUUAUUAAAGAAAUCUUGGGAGUACACUGUAAGGCCUCGAAUGAUGCAUGUCGUUCCGAACUUGCAAGACUGCCAUUGAAAAAUAGGAUAAUGUUAUCUAGCAUUAAAUUCUGGGAUCAUUUAAUCACUUCAGAAGGAAGUUUAGUUCACCAAAUAUAUAAUGCUACAAAAAAAAGCAACCCAUGGGUUAAAAGGUUAAAUAUUAUUAUUCAAAACUUAGGUUUAUCUUAUUUGUCAAAUGAUAACCUUACUAUUAAACCCCUGUUUGGUUUUAUAAAACAAAGACUAAUUGACCAGGGUUUUCAGGAACAACAUGCAAAUAUUUCAGCAUCUCCAAAAUUAAUUUUUUUCCAGAGUGUUUACAAAAUGAGUGAACGGGCAGGUUAUGUUGAUGCUUUAAAAAAUAGAUCAGAUCGAUCAUCAUUAUGUAAAUUAAGAGUUAGUGCUCAUAACCUUGCCAUUGAAAGAGGAAGAUAUUUAAAAAUGCCCAGAGAUCAAAGAAUUUGUGAAAUCUGUAAAAGUGGCGAAAUUGAAAAUGAACAGCACAUGCUGCUACACUGCAGAGGUUACUCCAGUAUUAGAGAGUCUUUUGUAUUAAAAAUGUUUAAUAUUACAGGAAAAAGUGUAACCACAUUGUGUGAUAAAAAUAUAAUAAAUCUUAUACUUAAUAAUACAUCUUAUAAGGCAC